UUUUUUUUUUUUUGGUAAUAUUUCCACCCCCACCUUCAAAAUGUGCUUCACUCCAAGAUGCCAAUGAUGGUGUGACCUUUCAAAGCCCAUGAUACUUAUGCCACCGCAUGCGACAACAAUACCAUCACAUGGAGGGCGGUCCUUGUGCUCCCAAAUAAUCCAGUAGUGAGGUGCAUCUCACAUCGCUUGCUACCAAGUUCCCACGACCUCUCGAUUUAUAUAAGGCGACAGGAGCUGAAGAUAAAAGCAAGCCUCCGUGUUGUCCAAACCGUAAAUAUUGUCCAUCUUCACUCCUGUAAUAUACGUGCUGCCUCCCAUUUUCUUUUAAUUAUCCCAUAUAUAAUGUGUAAAAUAAAGUUAGAUUAAGUCUAAUUAGAUGUGAUGAUUAGUAGGUGCAGUUUAGAUUAUUAUAAUGCAUAUGCCCUUUGCAUUAUGUGCACUUAAUGUAUUAAAAAUGAGAUUUUUAUCAAAAGAAUUACAAAAAUCUUAUAACAUUUUAGCAAAAUUUAAUAAACUAAUUAAUAUAAGUCAUCGUUACAUA
Elaeis guineensis (African oil palm) is the source of this 541-nucleotide non-coding RNA. NCBI's taxonomy places the organism in Eukaryota, Viridiplantae, Streptophyta, Magnoliopsida, Arecales, Arecaceae. The record is from RefSeq and is a predicted model, not a curated record.